CUUUGGCUGAACCCAGUGUUCGCGAUGCUCCGAGCUGUGGUUUCAAGCCCCUGAAGUCUCUGUAGUCUGCUACGAGGUUCUAGUAACUAUAUGGGAUUCAGAUUUCCUCCUUUCCCCUGACAGAUUAGCUACCUGUCACAGGAAACCACUGUAACAGUGGGAGGUUGUUGUUUGAUUGAAUUCAGACAAAAUUUGUGAUCACAAAUCGCCACAUUUGUGAUUUUAAAGUCUGCAGUUGAAUCUGCUGUUGAGGGAUUUGUCACUUUGAUUCUUGUCUCUAUCGUCUGCUACGAAGUUCUAGUAACUAUACAGUAUGGGAUUCAGAUUUCCUCCUUUCCCCUGACAGAUUAACUACCUGUCACAGGAAACCACUGUAACAGUGGGAGGCUGUUGUUUGAAUGAAUUCAGACAAAAUCCGUGAUC
Xyrichtys novacula (pearly razorfish) is the source of this 423-nucleotide non-coding RNA. The record is from the annotation of a GenBank genome assembly. NCBI's taxonomy places the organism in Eukaryota, Metazoa, Chordata, Actinopteri, Labriformes, Labridae.